This 2625-nucleotide long non-coding RNA is filed under the name Helianthus annuus (common sunflower). Lineage: Eukaryota; Viridiplantae; Streptophyta; Magnoliopsida; Asterales; Asteraceae. The record is from RNAcentral.
GUCUAACUAACUUCUAAAUCAAUCUCCAUCGUCGGAUCAUGCUGAAAUGAAAUCUGAGCCAUUUAAACUCCCAAAAAUAACCGAUAUGGUGGCGGUUUAGAGCAGUUCGGAACAGUUUUCUUAUUUGGUGGUUACCUCCUUAUUUCCUGCCCAUUAUCUCCACAACUCUAAGCUUCCUACAAACAUGGGUUUCAGCCUUAUAUACAGUUUAGGGCAGUUUCACACUCUCUCUCAUAGGCUCCUGCAGUUGGGACAGUUUACGUCCAUGAUGCACACGUUCUCCGCUACCUUUGCCAUUUUCUUCUUCCCAACCACCCUAUGCCAUCCAUUAUAAACCCUCACCAACAUCGUCAAAGUCUCCACGUUUGCUUUCUUCUAUGUAUUCGCGAAUCAUCCUUCUACACCCUAGACAUAAAUUUGAUGAAUCACCUCACUAUCGAUUCAACAGAUUUCAUGAUCAAGAACCAAUUGACGAUGACGCCAUUAAGGAUUGGACACCUUGUCGUCUUGGUGAUUAUUUCGAUCAAUAGUCAGACUCGGUUGCCUUUAUGUUCAAGGUUUUAGAUCUACAUUACUAUUGGGUUAUAUCGAGUCAAAAUUACGAUGCUGAUGGUGUUGGAUACUCGACACAACAAUGUCUUUAUCCCAGUUUAUAUUCCACAACACUCUUCGGUUAAGAUAAGCCGGCAGAAUCGUCAAUUUGACUCAAUUGACAUCUGCUUUUAGAUGUUCGGCUCACUGGUUUGAUGCCCUGAUUUUGACAAAUUGAAAUUGGUUCACCAAGUCUGAUGUGAAGGACAUUUGGAUUACCCGGAAAUACCAGCUGCAUCCAAAAGUAUUGCUUGUAUUUUUAUUGCACAUGACAACAUCUGCAACAUUUACAGCUAGCGAGUCAACCCGUUUAAAUUAUCUGUCUAAACGGGUAGCUGUCGAUUUUAGAAGUUUGGAAAUAGGUGGCUUCGUGGCUGCAGAUGCCACUUCCUUCUGGUCUGAUUUUAGUUUCAGAGUUGCUAAGGUUUGUUGCUGAGAUUAAGGCCUGCAAAAUAAAGGAAAAAGCUUGGGAAUAAGUGUCUUUAUUAACGUUUUGGAGGCUCUGGCUCAAUCGGAAUGACAAGAUAUAUAGAGGGGUUAUGCCUCCCCUCAAAAGAUGAUAGGUGAGAUUAAGGAAACUUCGUACACGUGGAUUCAAAAUAGAACCAAAUGGAGGCACAUGGAAUGGAACGCAUGCAGCAAAAAUUUUGUCUACAACUUGGAAAUCGGUCGAGGAACGUCAGUUUUGGCGAUAGAGUUGAGCAGACCCCCACCCUGCAAAAAAGGCCCUAUAUAUUUUACCCAAAUGAGGUUACUGAUCGUCCACUAGAUAAGUUGCGUUCCACUUUAAUAUUCUCCUUUUCCAUCAUACAUAACACAAUUCUGUAUUAAGUCUGAUUUCGGAGUUAUAUGACGAUUGCUAAUUGAAAUGUUGUUGCAUAUGGUUUUUUCUUUGUGCAGUAUACCUUCUACAUAUGGAGUAUUAUGGCACACGUGAUUUAUCCUACUGAGUCUUAUAUGUUGGUUUAUAAUGAAGAUUGGUAUAUAAUAAAGAGUUCAUGCAAGUGUCCCUGAAGAAAUUAAAAGAUUGUGUGAAACCAAAAAAAUAACUAUGUUUACAAUUUAAGUGGUAUGUUUAAAAAAAAGAAAUACAUAAUGCACGUUUGUUGAUAGUUCUUUGCAGGCAAAAACUAAUUUAGGCAUUUUAUGUAAGUUUUAAUUUUGAUGCCAAAGUGUGAGUUCCUUAGUAAUAAAUCACAUUGAUUCUUAUUCUUUUGCAUAAAAAAAACAACAUAAGUUAAAAGAAAAAUGAUGAUAUAGAUUGUUUACACUGAGCCUUUUAGAGUUAAUGUUCUUGCUCAAGAAGCUGCAGGGGUCUGGCUUUCUAUAUUGGCUGGGUAUUGUUAAUUUAUUAUUUGUAUCAUGUACAUGAAUUUCUAAAUAUCCCGCAGUAGAUGAUGCUAGAUGCACAUCAAAUUCAUCAUAUGUCCACAAUGCAGCAAGUCAGUAAGAAUCGAUGGUUGUUGAUGUGAACCAUGAGGUUGCCUUAGUAGUAGUAGACGAUGCCAAAAAUACACCAACUUUGACAAAUGGGCACCAUACAUCAAGUCAACAAGUCGAAAAAAGGUCAUCUUUGAGGUUAAAGAGAACGAUCCAAAAGCCAAAAAAAUUGAGGGAGUAAACCAUGUUUGACUGUUACAACACUUUUCCACAGUGUUGCAUACCGUUUACUUUUGCAUUAAAAUGGCACCAUUUCAUGUUUUGUCACUCUAUCACUUUUAUUUUAUAUUGUUGUGUGGUUGUACACUAUUCACGUUCGUUUUCCUUUUAUAAAUUAAAAAUGGUGCUUUUGUUUAUAAUGUUGUUUAGACUUGUGUCCACUUAAUGUGGAUGUUUGGGAUUGCUUAUUUUGAGCUACUUUUAAGUUUUUGACUUCUUAAAAGUUAAUAGGUUAUUUUUGUAGUAUUUGGAUAAUGUGUUUUGAGAAUGAGUUUUAGUUGUUUGAAAAGAAGAAAAGGAAAAGUUAGAUGGUUGCAACCUUUUCAAAAAAAGGAUACGGAAAAGAAGAAAAGAAGAAGCGUUCCCGAACACCCU